GACGAACGCUGGCGGCGUGCUUAACACAUGCAAGUCGAACGGAAAGGCCCAGCUUGCUGGGUGCUCGUGUGGAGCACGGGUGUGUCACACGUGUGAGCUCCGCCUCUCACUUCGGGAUAAGCUUGGGACACUGGGUCUAAUAGCGGAUAGGCCAAUCGUUCAUCGUCGGUUGUGGAAAGUUUUUUCUGUUAGGGGUGCGCCCGCGGCCUCUCAGCUUGUUGGUGGGGGAUUGGCAUACCACAGCGUCGCCGGGGAGCCGGCCUGAGAGGGUGGACGGCCACAGUGGGACUGAGACACGGCCCAGACUCCUACGGGAGGGAGCAGUGGAGAAUAGUGCACAAUGCGCGCAAGCCUGAUGCAGCGACGCCGCGUGGGAGAUGGCGGCCUGCGGGGUGUAAACCUCUCUCGACAGGGAAGAAGCUUUGGUGACGGUACCUGUAGAAGAAGCACCGGCUAACUACGUG
Molecule: ribosomal RNA, 464 nt
Filed under: uncultured bacterium
Lineage: Bacteria
Description: partial 16S ribosomal RNA
Rfam family: Bacterial small subunit ribosomal RNA
Source: RNAcentral